UGGGCCAUAGCACAUUUGAAAGGUGCAGUUGUAUGGGAGAUAAUUCCCCUGUCCAUUUUGCUGAACUCUGAAUGCAUUCUGUUACAUUUUAUCAGUUCUUUUUGGUAGCUUGUGCUCAAAAUGCUGAACUGGUGACACCCUAUGGAUCAUGAAGUUGCAACCUUGAUGACAAGCAUAAAGGACUGAGUGGUGAGGAGCAAAAACUACUUUCAAAGUAUGUCUGCUGUUGAAGCAGGAGCUGAAUUCUCAAGUGGUGGAAAUCAGCACAGCUCCAGUUAAAAAUGAAUAAACACUGAUUCACUCCAAGUGCAGAUAUCAAGCGUAGCAUUGACAAAAACCAGAUAAGGAGAAAGAAAACCUGAAAACCUGCACAGCCUCACCUCCCCUAGAACUUGAAAAAGCCCAACCACAAGGAACAAAAUCUGUGGCUGGAGAAUAGGCAACUUCAAGAUGGAGCCAGAGACCUGACAAGAUGAAUUCAGAAGCUGAACUACAUCUUGCCCAAUGCCACAGGAGUACUGUAUUUUGUUAACAAAAUAACCUUUUAUUUCAAGCUCAAGCCACAAUCUUAGCUGGACAAUGUUCGAUGCAAACUGGCCUGAGCCAUGUCUUCUCUGGCAGUGUUUAAGAAAUGCCCCUGAUAGUGCAGGAACUCAAUUGAUGCUAUCAGUGGGCAUAAUGUCACAGCAUUUUCCACACUAAGAAUCUCAUGCUACUUAGAUUGGUGGAGUUGCCUGGUUAUGGGGGUAAUAGCUAGAGAUCUUUCUAUGACUGUCAUGGUAGGUAAUAAGGUGAAGAAAUGACAUGCUGAUAAAAGCAGAGGGAGAGAAAAGGUGGCCUCGUGGUUAUGGCAGGAAAUCUGGGUAUCUGACCUUAUGCCUUGGCCUUGCUACAGACUUUCCACAUGGCCUUAGGUAGAUGACUUAGUCACUCUGGGUGCUUGCAAACAUAAAAAAAACCCACCCCAAAAUGUCACUUUACUUUAAACUCGAAGCAUUACCACACCAAGCCCCAUUCAUGCCUAGAAGAGGCAGCACAUUACUUCAACCUGGCUCAUCCACAUCUGUAAAGACUUUAGUGAGGCUUUUUUGGCACUUUUUAUCUAAUAGCUGAUUCACUCAGCUUUAGCUAAAAGUGCCAAAAAGCCCCACUGAAGCACCCAAUCGUUACAGAUACUGCAGAGCCAGGUUGAAGUAACACACUGCUUUUUCCAGGAAAGUAGGUUUUUUUGUUUUUAACAUCUGCAAGCAGCUCCAGUAACCAAGUUCAUUACUGCUGAAAUGGAAAACUCUUUUUUACCACCUUUGUCUGUCCAGUCUGCUAAGAUCUUCAGGGCAAUUUCUUGAGUCUGAUCUAUGACCAUGCCCACUCUUUAGCAUCACAGAACCUAGACCUUAGCAGGUAUCUAACGGUGGAAAGAGAAUAUUACCUUUCAUUGCCUUUGUCUGUUUGCUUGGCUUUUGUGCUUCCAUAAAUAUUUUUACAGUGGCAUAAAAUCCAAGACGACAAAUGAUCAUGCCCCUUGUGUUACAAAUGCCCCAAAUUUGUGGCUCACAGAGGUGGUAUUAAUUUGUGCCCCUAUUUAGCAGUGGGAGUCUGUUUGCUGCCCACACUCUCUAGUCAUCCCAGCGGGUGCUCUGGCAGGGUCAGAGGGGUUUGAUCCUGUGCAACCUGGGAAUUCUCAUGCAGGAUUGGCCUCCCGGGCAGCCCUGGAGUGCCUGUGUGGCUUCCCCUCUUAAAGACACAUCUUGGGGAACCUCUAUCAACAGUGAAAACAGGUCCUCCACUUGCAGAAUGCAUCCCUGGGAUCUCUGCGGUAUAUCUUUAUAAGUAGGGAAAGCUGGGAUUUCCCCCUGCUUGCAGAAAUGCACUCCUAAGACAUGACCUGAAAAUUUCCUGGAUUGCAUCUCUGUAAGAGAGGAAAGCUGAGCAGGAGCUCCUAGGGCUUGAGGGACCCUACCCUGCAUGGGAAUUCCCAGGAUGUGCAGGACUAGGUCCUUCAAGCUCCAGGAGAACACUUCACCCAUUGUUCUCUUACAUCAAUAGGCAGGACAAUUGGUGACGUGUGUUUCACACAAGGAAACAACCCAGCACAGCUAAUCCACUUCAUUUGACAACAUCUAUUUCAGCCUAUGAGCCACUAAAAUGCCAUAAUACAGUAGUUACUCUGCUAUGGUACAGAUUCAAAGCUAAAGCAAAUUCCUAUGUUGUAUGGAUUCUAUGAAGUGUCCAUUGUACAAGUUUAAACAUGGAACUUAUUGUAUAUUUUUGUUAGAGUUCCUGCAUCAUGUCAAUCUGCUUCUGAUGGAAAUAACCAGCGGUUUUUUAAAACAGACCAGGCCUUCUCCUUGGAGUCUGAAAUAUCACUUGUGGUGGGGCAAUUCUGGGGGGUCAACUGAAAAGAGGGCAAGGAAGGAGGUUUUAAGAAAUCUAAUAUUUUUGUAUAACAAGCAAAGUAAUUGCCUUAUGUUUUGCCCAUUUGCUUAUUAUUUGUUGUCUCCUUUUUAAAGUGUACGGGGUCUGUGUUAUCUCAUGACUGGAAAGCAGUUAGGAUGUCCUGAGUGUCAAUGCAGGUCAAAUAAUAAUUGAACAGAUUCCCAAUAGCAGUGUAUUCAACACAGUAACAGCGUGACACUCCCUGUACCAUGUCAUGAUAAUACAGACGUCAGGGGAAGGUCAAAUUUAGGCCAGUUCAAUUAAGUGUGAACAGGUGCCUCCAGACCACCAUGAAAUAACUAUCUGGUUAAGCCACUCUAAUGGGGUUUGAGGCAUUCACUUCCAUCUGUGUGUGUAACUUUAAACCAUCCUGCAGCAACAGGUCUUAAAUCAGGCUGCUUGACACAGCCAUCCUUACAUUAUCUUUCAGUUAUAAAAAUAAAGCUGUUAACUAUUUUAUCCUGACAAUAGCCUGGAUUUUCCUUUGCUGCAGCAACACAGAGGGAGGAACCGCUAUGGAAUUGCUGGGUGGGUGGAAUCCUUUUCUAAAAUCACUUAAUUAGGAUGGAUAAGGAUUAUUCCACGUGAUGUGGAGCAAGGAGUGGGUCAGACAUCCAAAAUCUGUACCUCUCCAUCAAUCUGCAGGAGCCUGGGACCUUCUGUACCAAGGCCCUGUGCCUCCAUGCCAGCUCUGGACUCCAGUGGAGGCACACAGCCAGAGACUUCUGAGGGCAGUGGCUGCCCCCCAGACUUACUCAGGAGGUUCGGUCGUCUUGGAAGCUCAGAACCCUGUCCCUUCAGAGGGUCCCACUGAAUGUGGAGUUCUGGCCCAUUCAUUCCACGCCACACAAAGUACAAAUGGAGCAAGCCAGGACUGUGCAGGAACCCUGCCUCAUUUCCUACACACUGAGUUUUUCAAUAUGCCGACAUACAAAGUACAAGGUCCCCAUGUUUAAUUUCAUAAUGUUGCUUCAUGUACAUAUGUUUUGCAAUCUGCCUUCAAUUUUAAACAUUGCUUUAUAAAACCCCCCACCCUGACCACUAGUACUUUGUAUUUGCAAGGACCAUUCUGAAAACUUCCUUCCUCUGUUCAAUCAAAACUACCAUUCAACAGAUGCUCAAAGAUACUGCAUAACAAACUGGUGAGUAGCAAAGCUGAAGAAUCGAAGCUGGGCCUUUUGAGUGUCAGUCAGGCCCUUAGCCAAUGAAUUAUAUUCAAGUUAUAAUUACAUACGUUAGGAUGAAAUAUACAGGCGUUUGCAAAAUGUAUGCUGUAUUAAUUUGCAUCCCACACUGGAGCCUACUAAGUUGUGUGAAGUAUACAUCAGUUCAGGGUUUGGUCCAGCACAUUAAGAUUCAAACGUGCUCACAAGCUUUAAUAGAUCCUAAGAUAUGCUGUUCAAUCUGGAAAUGUUUGUUCACAUUUCAUGAGAAUUCUUUUAGUAUGCUGUGGACACUUCUUCCCUUUUUAGGAAAUGUCUUUAGAGAUGCACUUCAACUGUCUAGCAAAAAGUUUAUCCUUGUCAAGCAGUGAUAUGUACAAUUGUACUUGUACAUGAUUAUUUUUGCAGGGGAGGGGUCUUUCUGUAAAUAAUUCCCUUAUAGGGGAAAAUGAAUUGAUUUGCAGUGCAGAGUACCAUUAGUUUUCAUUCACAGAAGGUGGAUAUGUGAUGGUUUGUGCAUGCUGUACCUGCUUGCUGAAAUUCAGUAUACUUUACAAGCUCUGCCUCCAAGAAGUUUAUAAUAAAAUUAUCACCCACCACAUCCCUGUCACACACCUGCCAAAUCUUUUCAUUUGUGUAAACAAAGCCUCUCCACAUGAAGGAUUUUUGAGGACAUAUUAAUCUGAAAGCUUCUGCUUUCAUAUUGCUCUUUAGCAACUUGCUGGAUAAUCCAUUUUGAAAACACUUUCUUUAUUGAAGUCCAUGUUUCAAGUAAACUAAUCUUCCCUGUCCUCUUAAGAUAUUCAUCUAAUUAUGAAAUGCUGAAGAAGAGGUUGGACAGGCAUCUAUCUGGGAUGGUUUUAGAACAGCAAUUUUCAUAGACUGUUUUCUAAAUUCUCAAGCUCUGUAACAGACCUGGUCCAAAGCUGCAUGACGUCAAGACUACUCUGAAGUUUUCCUUGUGGAAUAUCCUUCACAUCAUUUCUGCAUCAGAGUGGGGUUGGAUCCUGUGGAAUGAACAGGGAAAUUUCACCUGUAAAAUAUGAGGAUCCCUCAGGUCUAAAUGGGUAUCAGAAAAUCUGCUAGAGGCUAAGGCUAUCCACAAAGAGGA
Long non-coding RNA from Alligator mississippiensis (American alligator), 4710 nucleotides. RefSeq lists it as uncharacterized. NCBI's taxonomy places the organism in Eukaryota, Metazoa, Chordata, Crocodylia, Alligatoridae. The record is from RefSeq and is a predicted model, not a curated record. The transcript is spliced from 4 exons.